CAACCUACCUAUCAGAGGGGAAUAACCCGGCGAAAGUCGGACUAAUACCGCAUAAAACAGGGGCACCGCAUGGUGAUAUUUGUUAAAGAAAUUCGCUGAUAGAUGGGCAUGCGUUCCAUUAGGUAGUUGGUGAGGUAACGGCUCACCAAGCCGACGAUGGAUAGGGGAACUGAGAGGUUGGUCCCCCACACUGGUACUGAGACACGGACCAGACUCCUACGGGAGGCAGCAGUGAGGAAUAUUGGUCAAUGGGCGGGAGCCUGAACCAGCCAAGUCGCGUGAAGGAAGAAGGAUCUAUGGUUCGUAAACUUCUUUUGCAGGGGAAUAAAGUGCGGGACGUGUCCUGUUUUGUAUGUACCCUGAGAAUAAGGAUCGGCUAACUCCGUGCCAGCAGCCGCGGUAAUACGGAGGAUCCGAGCGUUAUCCGGAUUUAUUGGGUUUAAAGGGUGCGUAGGUGGUUUGAUAAGUCAGCGGUGAAAGUUUGCAGCUUAACUGUAAAAAUGCCGUUGAAACUGUCGGACUUGAGUGUAAAUGAGGUAGGCGGAAUGCGUGGUGUAGCGGUGAAAUGCAUAGAUAUCACGAAGAACUCCGAUUG
RNAcentral lists this ribosomal RNA (595 nucleotides) under uncultured Bacteroidota bacterium. Its description in RNAcentral is "bacterial SSU rRNA". It matches the Rfam family "Bacterial small subunit ribosomal RNA", at positions 122 to 715 of the family's 1533-position model. The record is from RNAcentral. Lineage: Bacteria; Pseudomonadati; Bacteroidota.